ACAAUACAGAGAUCUUUUACGGCAAUACAUAUAUUUACUCAGGCCCUUACACUCAAGCACAAGGUGUGAAAGUCUAGCCAUACAUGUUUUCAGUGGCAUACAGGCCUUCACAGAUUUGGGAGCUUUAGCACUCAGACCAUGUUGUUCUGCUCCUGGUUCCAGAGUUAUUUCUGCCUCCCUUGGAGUGGCAGUGGUUUCCUAGAAUUCCAUGAAAUUGAGGUAUCAAAUCUUUGGACUCUGAUUGGAAGAACCUGUGGCAUGAGACUCAUGACAAAUUCUCUUUCAGAGCAGUAGAAAGCCUAAUGAAGAGUUUAUCAGCAUCCAUGUGUAUCUUGUGUACAUUUAUUGUACACAUUAAGGAUUUGAGCCUGCUUAAUAAAUUAAGAUUUUCCUCCACCUUUGUGAAGGGAGAAAAUGAAUUUGAAACAAGGCUUCAGAAAAGAGUAAAUGAUGAAUGAACUCAUUCAAUGACCUUCAGAUCCUCUGACUCAUGGAGCUCAGAAGUGCACACUGUGCUCCAGGUGAGGCCACGCCAACACUGAGCACAGCAGGAUAAUUGUCUCUUUUGACUGUUGGGUCGUGUGGGGUUUGAUGUGCCCCAGGCUGAGGUUUGCCCUCUGGGCUGCCAGGGCAGUGCUGGCUCCCACUGAACCUCCUGCUGGCCAACACCCCCGGAUCACUUUUCUCAGGGUUGAUCUCCUUGUGCCUUGCAUUACUCCAUUCUAGGUGCAGAAUCCAUCAAAGAAUACAAUUACUUAUAUUUGUGAGAAGACAAUUUUGUAUUUCACUUUGUGUUAGACUUCUGGUUUUAAAGUAUCUAAGUGUCAUUUCUGUUCUUUCCUGUCCAUUUAUAUUAUUGUUCAUUGUUUCAAAUGUUUUAUUC
This is a long non-coding RNA of Zonotrichia leucophrys gambelii, 883 nucleotides long. RefSeq lists it as uncharacterized. Lineage: Eukaryota; Metazoa; Chordata; Aves; Passeriformes; Passerellidae. The transcript has 5 exons. The record is from RefSeq and is a predicted model, not a curated record.